This 440-nucleotide ribosomal RNA is filed under the name uncultured bacterium. RNAcentral describes it as "bacterial SSU rRNA". It matches the Rfam family "Bacterial small subunit ribosomal RNA", at positions 338 to 778 of the family's 1533-position model. The record is from RNAcentral.
CCUACGGGAGGCUGCAGUGGGGAAUAUUGCGCAAUGGACGAAAGUCUGACUCAGCGACGCCGCGUGUGGGAUGAAGCUCUUCGGGGUGUAAACCACUGUUGCCCGGGACGAACCUCCCCUUUCGAGGGGACUGACGGUACCGGGUGAGGAAGCACCGGCUAACUCUGUGCCAGCAGCCGCGGUAAUACAGAGGGUGCGAGCGUUGUCCGGAAUCACUGGGCGUAAAGGGCGCGUAGGUGGCUUGGUUAGCGUGCGGUGAAAGCUCGGGGCUCAACCCCGAGUCGGCCGUGCGAACUGCCGAGCUCGAGCAUGGUAGAGGCAGGUGGAAUUCCGGGUGUAGCGGUGGAAUGCGUAGAUAUCCGGAAGAACACCGGUGGCGAAGGCGGCCUGCUGGGCCAUUGCUGACACUGAGGCGCGACAGCGUGGGGAGCAAACAGGAU